Molecule: ribosomal RNA, 407 nt
Filed under: uncultured bacterium
Lineage: Bacteria
Description: bacterial SSU rRNA
Rfam family: Bacterial small subunit ribosomal RNA
Source: RNAcentral
GACGAACGCUGGCGGCGUGCUUAACACAUGCAAGUCGAGCGGUAAGGCCCUUCGGGGUACACGAGCGGCGAACGGGUGAGUAACACGUGGGUGACCUGCCCUCCACUUCGGGAUAAGCCUGGGAAACCGGGUCUAAUACCGGAUAGGACCUCUGGAUGCAUGUCUGGUGGUGGAUAGUCUGUGUCUUGACUGAUGCUGGCGGUGGGGGAUGGGCCCGCGGUCUAUCAGCNGUUGGUGGGGUGAUGGCCUACCAAGGCGACGACGGAUAGCCGGCCUGAGAGGGUGUCCGGCCACACUGGGACUGAGACACGGCCCAGACUCCUACGGGAGGCAGCAGUGGGGAAUCUUGCGCAAUGGGCGGAAGCCUGACGCAGCAACGCCGCGUGGGGGAUGGCGGCCUCGGUUGU